This 253-nucleotide ribosomal RNA is filed under the name uncultured bacterium. RNAcentral describes it as "partial 16S ribosomal RNA". It matches the Rfam family "Bacterial small subunit ribosomal RNA", at positions 524 to 776 of the family's 1533-position model. The record is from RNAcentral.
UACGUAGGGGGGAAGCGUUGUCCGGAAUCAUUGGGCGUAAAGCGCGUGUAGGCGGCUCGGUAAGUCUGCUGUGAAAGUCCAGGGCUCAACCCUGGGAUGCCGGUGGAUACUGUCGAGCUCGAGUCCGGAAGAGGCGAGUGGAAUUCCUGGUGUAGCGGUGAAAUGCGCAGAUAUCAGGAGGAACACCAAUGGCGAAGGCAGCUCGCUGGGACGUGACUGACGCUGAGACGCGAAAGCGUGGGGAGCAAACAGG